GGCUCCAUAGUGUAGUUGUUAUCAUGUCUGCUUUAGGCUCAGAAGGUCUUGGGUUUGCAUCCCAGGUGGAACCA
Molecule: transfer RNA, 74 nt
Filed under: Pteropus alecto (black flying fox)
Lineage: Eukaryota; Metazoa; Chordata; Mammalia; Chiroptera; Pteropodidae
Rfam family: tRNA
About the family: Transfer RNA (tRNA) molecules are approximately 80 nucleotides in length. Their secondary structure includes four short double-helical elements and three loops (D, anti-codon, and T loops). Further hydrogen bonds mediate the characteristic L-shaped molecular structure. tRNAs have two regions of fundamental functional importance: the anti-codon, which is responsible for specific mRNA codon recognition, and the 3' end, to which the tRNAs corresponding amino acid is attached (by aminoacyl-tRNA synthetases). tRNAs cope with the degeneracy of the genetic code in two manners: having more than one tRNA (with a specific anti-codon) for a particular amino acid; and 'wobble' base-pairing, i.e. permitting non-standard base-pairing at the 3rd anti-codon position.
Source: Rfam by way of RNAcentral